AGAAAGACAUAUUUUCUACAAUAACGAAUGAUGAUGUUAUUGAUCUAUUUAAGAAGAUGAAAGAUCGAGAAGGGAAGUUAUAAAAUAUAGUUGCAAAUGAAACGUUCCAAAGUCAUCUUUUUGCUUAUUAUUUAUGGAAUAUGUAAACAAGUGUUGUUCUAUGACUUCGCUCGGCCAAUACUCGGUAUGAGUUUUUUUAUGUAAUAAUAUCACGAGCUCAUUGCAUAUAUUUGCUCUUUA
This is a long non-coding RNA of Triticum aestivum (bread wheat), 240 nucleotides long. RefSeq lists it as uncharacterized. The transcript is spliced from 2 exons. The record is from RefSeq and is a predicted model, not a curated record. NCBI's taxonomy places the organism in Eukaryota, Viridiplantae, Streptophyta, Magnoliopsida, Poales, Poaceae.